UAGGGAAUAUUAGAAAUGGACGAAAGUCUGAUCUAGCAACACCGCGUGUGCGAAGAAGGCCUUCGGGUUGUAAAGCACUUUUUGGAAGGAUUAGGAAGGAAUGUACUUCCAGAAUAAGUCUCGGCUAACUACGUGCCAGCAGCCGCGGUAACACGUAGGAGGCAAACGUUAUCCGGAUUUACUGGGCGUAAAGCGCGUGUAGGUGGUUCUGUAAGUAGGGCGUGAAAGCUCCUGGCUCAACUGGGAGAGGCCGUUCUAAACUGCAGAGCUAGAGGAUGGUAGAGGGAGGGGGAAUUCCGGGUGUAGCGGUGGAAUGCGCAGAUAUCCGGAGGAACACCAGUGGCGAAAGCGGCCUCCUGGACCAUUCCUGACACUCAGACGCGAUAGCUAGGGUAGCAAACG
This 402-nucleotide ribosomal RNA is filed under the name uncultured bacterium. RNAcentral describes it as "bacterial SSU rRNA". It matches the Rfam family "Bacterial small subunit ribosomal RNA", at positions 355 to 774 of the family's 1533-position model. The record is from RNAcentral.